AUUUACUCCUGAUCUUAGUGCUCAAGGUUCUUGUAGCAAGAACUAGUGAUGAAUUUCUUGUGCUUUCGUUUAUAGAGCUUUGUUCAAGACAGUAAGUGUCCAGUCUAUCUGCUCCUCAGAAAGUGAUUAGCUAUAUUUUUUCCUAGGGUACUGAUCUUACUUCCCUUUUACCUACUUGUAUGGGAACUGCUGAAUCAUGGCCGGAACCUCUGAUUGAUCACCUGAGCUGACAUUGAGAAGGUGGAAGCAGCAAUGCAAGCAGAGUCCCAUUUCCACAUUUUGAAGUAAAGAGGCAAUCUUGCAUCAUGGAUGAAUUUAUUCCUUUACAGAUGGGUGGUAGUGGGUUUUCCACUCUGUGUACUGCCAACUUUCUCCAAGAUUGAUGUCACCUGCACCUAA
Molecule: long non-coding RNA, 399 nt
Filed under: Chrysolophus pictus (golden pheasant)
Lineage: Eukaryota; Metazoa; Chordata; Aves; Galliformes; Phasianidae
Description: lncRNA (ENSCPIG00010000424.1)
Source: RNAcentral